This is a long non-coding RNA of Corapipo altera (White-ruffed manakin), 272 nucleotides long. RefSeq lists it as uncharacterized. NCBI's taxonomy places the organism in Eukaryota, Metazoa, Chordata, Aves, Passeriformes, Pipridae. The transcript has 3 exons. The record is from RefSeq and is a predicted model, not a curated record.
UUCUCCACAUUACCUUUCUACGAGGUCUUGACUGCUCACUGGGGGUGCUGACUCCAGACUCUGUGCCACAGAUCAACUUUGAAAAAAUGCAUUAUCCUUUCCUUCCUCAAGGGACAUAAUAGCAAGUCCAGACCAUGCCUUUUUAAACUAUGAGAAAAAUUUUAAGAAAUUUGUCCUCUGGGCCCCUAAAUAUUAUUCUUGAUGUCUAUUCUAGCACAUAUCAGAAUUUCUCCAUUAAAACAGGAAGUAUGAGGAAUCUGAAGUAAAAAAAA